UACGGUGGGGGCAAGCGUUGUUCGGAAUUACUGGGCGUAAAGGGCUCGUAGGUGGCCAACUAAGUCAGACGUGAAAUCCCUCGGCUUAACCGGGGAACUGCGUCUGAUACUGGAUGGCUUGAGUUCGGGAGAGGGAUGCGGAAUUCCAGGUGUAGCGGUGAAAUGCGUAGAUAUCUGGAGGAACACCGGUGGCGAAGGCGGCAUCCUGGACCGACACUGACACUGAGGAGCGAAAGCCAGGGGAGCAAACGGG
This 253-nucleotide ribosomal RNA is filed under the name uncultured bacterium. RNAcentral describes it as "partial 16S ribosomal RNA". It matches the Rfam family "Bacterial small subunit ribosomal RNA", at positions 524 to 776 of the family's 1533-position model. The record is from RNAcentral.